UAGGGAAUAUUGCACAAUGGAGGAAACUCUGAUGCAGCGACGCCGCGUGAGUGAUGAAGGACUUCGGUUCGUAAAGCUCUGUUGCAAGGGAAAAAGUUCUGAUUGUACCUUGUGAGGAAGGGUCGGCUAACUUCGUGCCAGCAGCCGCGGUAAGACGAGGGACCCUAGCGUUGUUCGGAAUCAUUGGGCGUAAAGCGGGUGCAGGUGGCUUUGUAAGUCAGGUGUGAAAUCCCAGGGCUUAACCCUGGAAGUGCAUUUGAUACUGCGAAGCUUGAGUGCUGGAGAGGUUACUAGAAUACCUGGUGUAGUGGUGAAAUACGUAGAUAUCAGGUGGAACACCGGUGGCGAAGGCGGGUAACUGGCCAGACACUGACACUCAGACCCGAAAGCGUGGGGAUCA
Molecule: ribosomal RNA, 400 nt
Filed under: uncultured bacterium
Lineage: Bacteria
Description: bacterial SSU rRNA
Rfam family: Bacterial small subunit ribosomal RNA
Source: RNAcentral